UUGAUUUGAAAGGUAAGCAAUUGAGGGAUAAAACGUAUAGCUGCUUCGCAUGGUCUUUGCGCGGAGUGAGCCUGGACUAAGUGGUGAAUAAGUAUGAAGGAUUAAGUGUUCGUUCGAGCAUAAGUUAUGGAUCAUAAAUGUUAUCGGCCUUAAAUCUUUCUCAUGGUAUCUGAGGACCAUAGAUAGGUACGUCAGGUAGGAAUUUCGAUUGUAGAUAGUUUGCUCUUGAGACUGCAGCUCGAGAUGUGAAUUAUCUUAUUUCGGAUUCUUGUGCCUGAGUACUCUAGAGUUGAGGCGCUGCUAAGUACUUGAGACUUGUAUUUUGGAAUAUGAACAGGCUUUGUCCGACUAAAAUGAAUAUAAGAAAUCUACGGACAUCGAGUGACUAGGAAGUGACGUGAGAGACCGGACGGGGUCAUCUUAGCUGAGUCUGGAAAAUAUUGUAACCCAAAAGAUCCUUGGGGUGAGAUUGAAAUGAUUCUUAGUACGUGAUCAACUUUCGAGAACUAUUUUUUUGAUCUGAUUAAUGCAAGUUGGAAUUUCGAGGUCGAAAUUCUUUUAAGGGGGAGAGAGUGUGAGGACUCGCAAAUUCCUUGCAUAUUUCUCAAAAAUUCCCUUUUAUUUGAAAUUAUUUGGAAAUUAUUAUUUCAUGUUAUCCAUGGUUCAAUCACCCUAGAAAAGUGCCAAUGACCAUAGGAAAUUAGGGUUUUCCUAUUCGUUUUCAAUUCAAGGUGAAAUCGGAUUUUUCGUGUAACCGCAGUAUAAUUAUCCGGUACCGAGUAAGGAUCAAAUUUGGUGCUUAAGAGUGACUUUUAAGUGAGAAAUAAUAUGUGGUUAGAAGCAAUGAUAAAAAGUUAGUGAAUUGGAAGUAAAAACCCUAGUACGUGCGAUUUAAGAGAAAACGCGUCACACCGACGUGUACCGUGCACUACCGUUUGAACACACCACGGGACCACCACUUUCUUACCACAUGAGCUCAUUGAUAUUUGAGCAAAAUAUCCCUUCAUUUCCAGCUGCCUUUGACCGAAAUUUGUGGCCAAAAAUGUAAGGGAGAGAGAGAAAUAUUUGCAUGGCUUUGGUGGCGCCAAGUGUCACCACCUCAUGGCUCCUUAAUUAAUUUUUUUUUCUUGCCUUUUUAUCCUUCACUUCAGCCAUCUUUCUUCUUCAUUUUUUCUGGUCUUGGCCAAGCAAGAGAGAGAAAGGGAGAGCAAGAGAAAACAAAUUCCUUCUUGAUUUACACCAACCAAGUGCUAAAAUCGAAUUCUAAACCGAUUGAUUGUAAGUUUGGAAGCUUGGGAAGCUAAGGGAACCAAAAACUUCAAGAAAUAGUGGAGGAUCACUCUUGCAAGCCUUCUUUUUGAGGUAUAAAAUCUGAUCUAUGGCUUUGAUCCUUUUAUUCUUGUUUAAGAUGUUAAAUAGUCCAUGUUUUGGGUUUGAUUACAAGUGAUGUAAGUUGUUGUGGUGAUUUUUGGAUGAAAUAUGUAAGUUAGAGUUUGAUUAAUUUCUGCCUCAACUUGUUGUAUAGUUAGUAUAUGUUGUAUAUAAGGUUAUAUAGGGGGUUUUGGUAGCAAGUGUAGCAAGAAAUUAAGAAAACUAUCAUUGAAACCAAAAGAUUUCAGAUUUCUGGAAAUUUUCAUCCUAUUCUGCCCGUUUUUGUUGCACCAUGUUAGAGGCCGAAUUGGGCUUGGCUUAAAACAUCAAAGUUGUAGGUAAUGGCAUUUUAUAGGUGCCUACAAAAUUUCAGCUCAAUCGGAGCAACGUAGCCUGUGAAAAGACCAAAAUACCCUCACUGUUUUAGGAAAUUUCCAGUGUUCCGUUUUCGUCAGUUCAUCCGGUUUAUCACGUUUUUCCACUAGGAUCCGUACUGAUUUAGCUUUUUACCAAAACGUGAAAGUUGUAGUAUUCUGACUUAUCUUUCAAACGCCUCUAAGAACACCUGAAUCGGACUUUUGUAACCUGAGAUAUGACCAUUACAGUACAAUGCGGUUAGACAGACGACGAGUUAGAUUUUAGUUCUGUAAAUUGAGGAUUUGACUAAGUUGCAUUGGAAACUGGACUACGUUACCUUCAUGAACAUUGUAGCCCUGUGUCUUAGCUUCGAAACGGCAUAAGUUACGCCUCAAUCCGAUAAGCUUAGCCUCGGAUAUGUUAUUUCCGCAUCCACACGUCAAAUCUGUCUUUUGCUAGAUUGUAUUUCCGCACUUGUUAUUACUUUGAUUCUUGUUCUUAUGAUGUUAUGAGCCUAUGGAAUGGCUAUUGACUUGAAUUUAUGAUAUGUAUAACUUUGGGAUUGGCUGAGGAAAAAUAAUGAAGCCAAAAUGGCUGGAAAAUUAGGUAAACACAAAGGGCGUGCUGCCCAAAUUUUCGCUCGAGGGCUAGGUUUCUAUUUGGCCAAUACCAUGACCGGCUUUCCAUUUUAAAACAUGAUUUUUCAUCCUUGGGUUCAAACAACCCUCUUCUUACUUGAAAUUCAUCUUUACACGUUUUACUCCUAAUUAGUCCAGUUUCUUUGUUUCCCUUAAAUGUUUUGCUCGAUAAACUGUAAUAUGUUUUCUUGUUCAACCUUAGGUUUCAUUGGUGACUAAGGGUAAUAUCCGGAAGGAUAUUUUGCACGUUAUUUUGCAUAACUAGGUGAGUGUUCCUUGUUUGUUAUAUUCUCCCUGACUUCAUGACUUGUUGUUGUUGUUUUGAUAAUGUGUUAAGUGCUUUCAAGGAUUUCUAAAAUGAGUUUUCUAGGUGAGCGUGUACUUUAUCGCGCUCGACCUUAAUGAAACGUGAAAUUUUCAAUGAUUUAAUGAUGGAAACAUUAGUUGCGCAUGAUGUAAGCCUUUUGGCUGAAUUGGGCCCUGCCCUUCGUUACCGAUCGACUCGAGCCAGAAGCGGACUCGGUCGGGCGAUAUGGUGAUCCUGGGUGAAUUUGGUAUACUCGAGUAUUACCUUGUAGUCCGGCUACGUCCGGAUGGGUGGAGUCCGGUCAACGUCCGGAUGGGUGGAGUCCGCUCAAUGUCCGGAAAGGGAUGAAUGAACGAACGAAGGCACGAGGGUUUUAUUUCUCAAAAAGGAAAUUUCAAAUAAUUGGAGGAAUAAGGGGAAAUGUCAGGGGAACGAACGAAAGAACGAAUAGCUCCAUGUGAGCCCGUAUCCUUUUAAUGAAUGUUACUAUUUCUUUCCAUUGUAAAUGUUUCUUGAAUUAUUGAUACUCCAUGUUUAAUGUGUUGAAUUGAUUGUUUGAUUAGCUGUUCAGAACCUCACUGAGCUUUUAGCUCACCCCUUUAGUUUUGUUUUCCUUAACAAGGGACGGCGAGCAGGAUGAGAGCAUAGACUAGCCUACUCUAGGUCUUUUGUUUCUUUUGUAAUGGUUCUCGCCCUAGUGCUUGGCACGGGCUGGUUGUAUGGUGAAGUGAGAACCUUUGUACAUUUGAUGGCUGUACUUCCUUUUGAGAUAGCAAUGUAUAUAAGUUCCGCUUUAAGUUUGGAUUGCUGCCCUAUUUAUUCUUGUGAUUUAUUCUGGAUUUGAUUAAGGAACGACUGAGUCCCGGCGAGAGCCGGGCAGGCGACUCGCCAAACCCUUUGGUUCGCCUUAGGGGGAGGUGGGGCCGUCACAGGUGGUAUCAGAGCUUAGGCUUCAGAUUUCUGUAGUGUAUCCUAGGCUUAAAGUUUGGGAUGCCGGACUGUGAGAUUUGAUUUGAUUUGAAAGGUAAGCAAUUGAGGGAUAAAACGUAUAGCUGCUUCGCAUGGUCUUUGCGCGGAGUGAGCCUGGACUAAGUGGUGAAUAAGUAUGAAGGAUUAAGUGUUCGUUCGAGCAUAAGUUAUGGAUCAUAAAUGUUAUCGGCCUUAAAUCUUUCUCAUGGUAUCUGAGGACCAUAGAUAGGUACGUCAGGUAGGAAUUUCGAUUGUAGAUAGUUUGCUCUUGAGACUGCAGCUCGAGAUGUGAAUUAUCUUAUUUCGGAUUCUUG
RNAcentral lists this long non-coding RNA (3956 nucleotides) under Coffea arabica (coffee). Its description in RNAcentral is "long non-coding RNA (CARA_LNC001316)". Lineage: Eukaryota; Viridiplantae; Streptophyta; Magnoliopsida; Gentianales; Rubiaceae. The record is from RNAcentral.